Molecule: ribosomal RNA, 490 nt
Filed under: uncultured bacterium
Lineage: Bacteria
Description: partial 16S ribosomal RNA
Rfam family: Bacterial small subunit ribosomal RNA
Source: RNAcentral
AUUGAACGCUGGCGGCAGGCCUAACACAUGCAAGUCGAACGGUAACAGGAAGAAGCUUGCUUCUUUGCUGACGAGUGGCGGACGGGUGAGUAAUGUCUGGGAAACUGCCUGAUGGAGGGGGAUAACUACUGGAAACGGUAGCUAAUACCGCAUAACGUCGCAAGACCAAAGAGGGGGACCUUCGGGCCUCUUGCCAUCGGAUGUGCCCAGAUGGGAUUAGCUAGUAGGUGGGGUAACGGCUCACCUAGGCGACGAUCCCUAGCUGGUCUGAGAGGAUGACCAGCCACACUGGAACUGAGACACGGUCCAGACUCCUACGGGAGGCAGCAGUGGGAAAUAUUGCACAAUGGGCGCAAGCCUGAUGCAGCCAUGCCGCGUGUAUGAAGAAGGCCUUCGGGUUGUAAAGUACUUUCAGCGGGGAGGAAGGGAGUAAAGUUAAUACCUUUGCUCAUUGACGUUACCCGCAGAAGAAGCACCGGCUAACUCCGUG